UCUCUGGUGGCCGAGACUAUAGGCGGUAGACUGUAGAUCUACCUACGGGACCAAUUCUCUCAGAGAA
RNAcentral lists this transfer RNA (67 nucleotides) under Cerithidea obtusa. RNAcentral's name for it is "tRNA-Tyr". The record is from RNAcentral. Lineage: Eukaryota; Metazoa; Mollusca; Gastropoda; Potamididae.